GACGAACGCUGGCGGCGUGCCUAAUACAUGCAAGUCGAGCGAAGCGGCGGAUGGGUGAGUAACGCGUGGGUAACCUGCCCUUAAGUCUGGGAUACCAUUUGGAAACAGAUGCUAAUACCGGAUACUAAAGGAUGGACCUGCGAUUCAUUAGCUAGUUGGUAAGGUAACGGCUUACCAAGGCGAUGAUGCAUAGCCGAGUUACGAAACUGAUGGGCCACCUUGGGACUGAGACGCGGCCCAAACUCCUACGGGAGGCAGGAGUAGGGAAUUUUCCACAGUGGACGAAAGUGUUAUGGUGCAACACUGCGUGAGUGAAGAAGGUUUUCGGAUCGUAAAGCUCUGUUGUUGGUGAAGCGGUAAUCAACCAGAAAGUCACGGCUAACUACGUGCCAGCAGCCGCGGUAGUUC
Molecule: ribosomal RNA, 408 nt
Filed under: uncultured bacterium
Lineage: Bacteria
Description: partial 16S ribosomal RNA
Rfam family: Bacterial small subunit ribosomal RNA
Source: RNAcentral